GUUUUUGAAGUCCAGGAUGAAAUGAAGCAUGAAUGCUAAUGAAUGCAGGCUUUGUGUUCAUCUGUUCAGACAGCAGCAGGCCCCGCAUACGUGUUAUGAAAGUUACCCUUUAUUUGGCGCAAACACUUAACGAGUUUCCAAAUGAAUCCUGUUCUCUGGAUUAGCUCUUUCCAGACCGAGCAGUUUGUUGGACACUUUUGGCCUACACCAUCGGCAGCAUGAGCCUAACGGGGAUCGAUCUGUCUCUUAACGGGACGGCCUUAUUGAAACCAAAUGACACAGAAACACAAGCCGCUCUCUAUGAAGUCAAGGUGUUCAACAUCACCCUAUCAUCAAUAGCUCUGUGCAUCCUGGCAGUGACAGGAAUCAUCAGCUGUAUCUCGUACAGAAGACACAGAAGGUGA
Long non-coding RNA from Sinocyclocheilus grahami, 404 nucleotides. RefSeq lists it as uncharacterized. The record is from RefSeq and is a predicted model, not a curated record. NCBI's taxonomy places the organism in Eukaryota, Metazoa, Chordata, Actinopteri, Cypriniformes, Cyprinidae. The transcript is spliced from 3 exons.